Molecule: ribosomal RNA, 1542 nt
Filed under: Capsicum annuum
Lineage: Eukaryota; Viridiplantae; Streptophyta; Magnoliopsida; Solanales; Solanaceae
Description: SSU rRNA
Rfam family: Eukaryotic small subunit ribosomal RNA
Source: RNAcentral
ACCCCGACUUCUGGAAGGGAUGCAUUUAUUAGAUGAAAGGUCAACGUGGGCUCUGCCCAUUCCUGCAAUGAUUCAUGAUAACUCGAUGGAUCGCAUGGCCAUCGUGCCUAUGAUGCAUCAUUCAAAUUUCUGUACUAUUAAGUUUCGAUGGUAAGUUAGUGGCCUACCAUAGUGGUGACGGGUGAUGGAGAAUUAGGGUUCAAUUUUAGAGAGGAAGCCUGAGAAAUGGCUUCCACAUCCAAGGAAGGCAGCAGGCACGCAAAUUAUCCAAUCCUGACACUUGGAGGUAGUGACAAUAAAUAACAAUACCGGGCUCAAUGGGUCUAGUAAUUGGAAUGACUAAAAUUUAAAUCCCUUACUGUCGAUCCAUUGGAGGGAGAGUCUGGUGCCAGCAGCCGCGGUAACUCCAGCACCAAUAACAUAUAUUUAAGUUGUUACCAAUAGCAUUGGUCAUCUCGUCCCUUCUGUCGGUGAUGCGCUCCUGGCCUUAAUUGUCCGGGUCGUGCCUCCGGUGCUGUUACUUUGAAGAAAUUAGAGUGCUUAAAGCAAGCCUACGCUCUGUAUACAUUAGCAUGCGAUAACAUUAUAUGAUUUCAGUCUUAUUACGUUGGCUUUCAGGAUCAGACUAAUGAUUAACAGGGACAGUCGGGGGCAUUCGUAUUUCAUAGUCAGAGGUGAAAAUAUUGGAUUUAUGAAAUACGAUCAACUGUGAAAGCAUUUUCCAAGGCUGUUUUCAUUAAUCAAGAAUGAAAGUUAGAGGCUCGAAGGCGAUCAGAUACCGUCCUAGUCUCAAUUAUAAAUGAUGUCGACCAGGGAUCGGCGGAUGUUUCUUUUAGGACUUCUCCGGCACCUUAUGAGAAAUCAAAGUUUUUGGAUUCUGGGGGGAGUAUGGUGGCAAGGCUAAAACUUAAAGGAAUUGACAGAAGGGCACCACCGGGAGUGGAGCCUGCGGCUUAAUUUGACUCAACCAGGGGAAACUUACCAGGUCCAGACAUAGUAAGGAUUGAAAGACUGAGAGUUCUUUCUUGAUUCUAUGGGUGGUGUUGCUUGGCCAUUCUUAGUUGGUGGAGCGAUUUUUUUGGUUAAUUCCAUUAACAAACGAGACCUCAGCCUGCUUUCUAGCUAUGAGGAGGUAUUCCUUCGCGGCCAGCUUCUUAGAGGGACUAUGGCCUUUUAGGCCACGGAAGUUUGAUGCAAUAACAGGUCUGUGAUGCCCUUAGAUGUUCAAUGAGUUUAUAGCCUUGGUCGACCGGCCCGGGUAAUCUUUGAAAUUUUAUCAUGAUAGAGAUAUAUCAUUGCAAUUGUUGGUCUUCUAUGAAGAAUUUCUAGUAAGCGCGAGUCAUCAGCUCGCGUUUACUACGUCUCGUCCCUUUGUACACACCACCCGUUGCUCCUACCGAUUGAAUGAUCGGAUNAUAAAAUGUACGGAUCGUAGUAAAGUGGGCGGUUCGCUGCCCGCGACGUCGUCAAAUAUCCAUUGAACCUUAUCAUUUAGAGGAAGGAGAAUUCGUAACAAGGUUUUCGUCGGUGAACCUGCGGAAG